RNAcentral lists this ribosomal RNA (321 nucleotides) under uncultured archaeon. RNAcentral's name for it is "bacterial SSU rRNA". It matches the Rfam family "Archaeal small subunit ribosomal RNA", at positions 538 to 828 of the family's 1478-position model. The record is from RNAcentral.
UCCUCUGUUAAAUCCAACCGCUCAACGGUUGACCUGCAGAGGAUACCGCGGGACUAGGAGGCGGGAGAGGCGGACGGUACUCCGCGUGUAGGGGUAAAAUCCUUUGAUCCGCGGAAGACCACCAGUGGCGAAGGCGGUCCGCCAGAACGCGCUCGACGGUGAGGGAUGAAAGCUGGGGGAGCGAACCGGAUUAGAUACCCAGGUAGUCCCAGCCGUAAACGAUGCUAGCUAGAUGAUUCAUUCGCAAGUCGCGAAUGAAGUGUCGCAGGGAAGCCGUUAAGCUAGCCGCCUGAGAGUACGUCGCAGAAUCCUGGCUGAUGU